GAGAGCGUGAGGGAGAGGGGGGUGAGGACAGACGGAGAGGCUUCAUCCUCAGCCUCCAGGAGGACCUCAGGGGGCUGUUGGAGAAUGAGGAGCAGGGGCUGGAGGAGCAGAGGGGGCUGUUGGAACAGCUGCAGGAUGCGCAGCAGAAUGGCCACUUCCUGUCGUGUAAGGUGGAGGAAAUGAGGACGGUGGUCCACAGGCUCAAGCUGAAUGAGAGCUCCAUGAUGGAGGAGGUGGAGGAACUGCAAGAGGAGAACCAGAGACUGUAAGAGGCUCAGCCACACCCUGAGACAGAUCAACCACAGCCCGGACUCUACUGACCCCCGUCUCUACCCCCAGCCCUAGCUCUGGUGCCAGCCCAGGGACUCCAGCCCCAGCCUGGCUACCGCCCUGCCAAACACCCCUGCCAUGGCUCAACCAGUCCCCUGCCACAUGGACAACACUGACCCGGUGAGUGAUGACAUUGAAGCUAAUGUGGAGUUGACUCUUAAUCAGUAGUAGAUCUUAAGUCUAAAUUGUUGAAGAGUUCGGCCUCAAGAAUGUAAAUGAGUACAAUUACAAGCAAAUUGUACAAUGGAUUAUAAUGUGGGAUUGUCAUGGGUUUAGCUGCACAGUGGAAUGUUGAUCUGAUUAACUACAGAGGAACUAAAGAGUGUGGCUGGCUUGUGUGUUUGAGACUGGGAGCCUAGGGGACUGGUGUCUUGGUCCUAGGGGCUUCCCCUCUCUCAACCUGAGAGAGGAGACUGAAGCACUGAGAGAGGCUUACUGGAGCAUGGGGGCGACGUGGACUCACUCCGGGACCACAGCUGGAGAGCACGCUCUGACACACACAGGACCAGCUGCACAGGGUGACCGAGGAGAACGCCCGUCUGAAAUGUAAACUCAGGGAGAAAUGGGGGGCCUGUGAGGCGGAGUGGGGGUGCUAGCUAGGAGGGAAAAGCAUGACAGGAAAUGCCCAGGAAAACAGGGUGCCAAUUCAUAACCUAAUUCCCCAGGUUAGCAGAAAGCUUACCACAACUCCAACCCAGAAUAAUACUACCCUAGUCUUAGCCGAUAAUGACCUAACCCUGUAUGCCUUAGCCCUGGAUGACCUAGCUCUAGCUUUGAACCAGGAGAACCAAGGCAUAGGGCAGGCGUAUCAAGGAGCUCCUGCACCACAUAGAGAGCCGGGAUAGUAAGGUUAGUGAGAGGAAGCUAGAGAGGGAGAGCUGGAGCAGGAGAACCAGGAGCAGGGAGGUCUUAUAACCGAGCUAACCAGGAAGACCAAGGAGGACCUCAACACUAUCAUGGAGCUGCAGCAGAGACUGACUGAGAGCGGUCAGCUUGGUCUACAACAGGGUGACCAUGGUUUGACCACUGAGUCAGAGUGUGGUCAAAAGGGUGAGCAUGCGGUCGGGUCAGUGUUCGCUCAACAGGGUCAACCCCCGGUAGGGUUCGUGACCAGUCUACAAGGUGAUCACACGCCAGGGUCGGUGAAUAGUGGUGAACUACAGGUUGACCACACGACCGAGUCAGUUAGGGAUCAAAAGGACAGCCAUUUGACCACAGAGUUAGUAUCCAUGCUGAGAGAGGAGAGGGGCGAGCUAAUUGGGUCUCAGUGAUCUCAAAGGGGAAAGGGAACAGGUUUCCCCUCUCACUCAGGUGUCAGACAGGGAAACACCAGCUAACGCGCUCCGUGUGGGUCCUGGAAGAAGAACGCGACCGGGUCAAUCAGGAACUCUGCGGUUUAAAAGAAGAGCAAGUACAGUUUACCAGGUCUGAAAGAUAAGAGACAAGGUGGUAUGGUCAAUGUGUGGUUUAAAAGAGGAGAGUGACCAGCUAGUUCCGUCAAGGUCUGGACUCCAGGAGGAGAGAGACCAGCUAGUUCAGUCAAUGUCUGUUUUCUACAAGGAGAGAGAACAGCUAGUUCAGUCCAAUGUCUGGUUUCCAGGAGGAGAGAGAUGAGCUCUCGCAGUCUCUCUUCAGUCAAGAAGAUGAGAGACCAACCUAACGAGUCACUCCACAAUCUAGAAGAGGAGCGAGACCAGUUGAUGCAAUCCAUGUGGGGUUUAAAGGGACAGAGAGACUAGCUAACACAGACACUCAGCCUUCUGGAGCAGAAGAGAGACAAACUGCCUUCAAACAGAAGACAGAGACCCGGUCAACCCGUUUAAAGAAGAGCGAGAGCAGUUGGUUCAGUUAAUGGUUGUUCUGUGCGAACAAAGAGAGCAUCUCACAACGGAGAGAGAGACCAGUUGCAGAUGGACGUUGCUCCUUUACGGAAUCAGCUACUGUCACAGGGGCGGAGUCACGACCAGCGGGUACUCUGAGAACCACGUUGGCGUGGCAACACACAUAGAGGGUGUGGCUACAGAGAGCGGGGUCACUGCGCCAAAAUACGGACGAUGACGUCGUUCAGAGAAGUCUGGCCACGGUCUACUCCUACAAGACCAUCCGCCUGGGGCAGUCUGCACAGGGAACACUUGGAAGAGGUGACAGUGGAACAGAGUGAACUGAUGGAGGAGAUCAAGUCGUUGGGGUCAGAACACAGAAGGUCACGAGACGAACUGGAGAAGAACCAAUCGGAGGAUCUCCCUUCCAAGACCAGACACCAGGUUUACUCCAGUCCCCCACCAGGUCAGGGAAACUAUCCAGGUUACCCCAAACCUUGCUGCCCUCAACCGACCCAAGCAUACCCCCAUAACAGCUACCCCUUCUACUACUACUACUACUGCCCCCGCUCGGACUGUUAAAGCACGAAGUACCACUACCUCGUUGAAAACUGCCCCUCCAACAAUUACCCUUAAAACUACAGCCCUCACUAAAGCUGCCCCCUCCACCUCUGCUCUGCCACCCACUGAGAGGACGUGACUGCCUGAUGAGGACCAUUGUGUCAAGAAGCUCCUCUCCAACUGCCAACCUGAACAAGCUAAAGCAACCAAACCCAGAGCUAAGCCGGAACCUCCAGCUGAGGUGGGCUCUGUUGAGGUCAUCAGGAUGGUGGGACAGAGCAGCCUCAUGAUUGGCUGGAUGAGCUGGGCUGCAGCAACGGAACCUUUAUGUAUGGAUACUGCCUCUCACCUGGGAUACAGUAGAAUGUAAAUAAAUGGGUUUUGGUGUUGUCCAUUCUAUACAGUCCAAUGUCUCCGUAUGCUGUGCUCAUCUCGCGCUCUCUCUUUCUGUCUUUCUCUCUCUUUGUCUUUCUCUCACCCUCUCUUCCUCCCCAUUUUCUCUCCCCCUCCUCUCUCUCUCUCUCUCUUUCUGUCUUUCUCUCUCUUUGUCUUUCUCUCACCCUCUCUUCCUCCCCAUUUUCUCUACCCCUCCUCUCUCUCUCUCUCUCUCUCUUUCUGUCUUUCUCUCUCUUUGUCUUUCUCUCACCCUCUCUUCCUCCCCAUUUUCUCUACCCCCCCCCUCUCUCUCUCCUCUCUUUGUCUUUCUCUCUCUUUGUCUUUCUCUCACCCUCUCUUCCUCCCCAUUUUCUCUGUCUUUCUCUCUCUUUGUCUUUCUCUCACCCUCUCUUCCUCCUAAUUUUUUCUCUCGCUCUCGCUCUCUCUCGCUCUAUAUAUACUGGACUCCGCCCACACACCGAAACAGUGGCUCCACCCAACCAGUGAGUUCUACAGACAUGCAUGUGUACUUAAUGUUUUGUACACUCAGUUUACCACCCUGGUGAGAGCAGAGGUCGGACUAGCUGGCCAAUCAGAGGCUAGAAGCAGUGCAUGCACAAGGGUGAGGAUGCAUGCCUAUCACCCGAUUGGCCAGGGCCGCAGCCUGGUGACCUCUCACAUGAGUGGGGAUAAAAGGUGAGAAUGGGUUAGAACGGGUGAGACCAAGCAACAGGUAAUCAAGUUGCAAUGUCUGUGACGUCUAGGAGGAGUAAUUCUGUACAGCAACCCUACCCUGACCCAACCAUUUCAUCUUUCAAUGUUUUACUGCAGAUUUUCAGCCGCACUGUCCAGUUGAAACCUUACUCACCAGAUUCAGAAGCUCAUCCUAAGCUUCUGUAUUAAUAUGUGUGUGUGUGUGUGUUUGUGUUUGCUUGCUUGUGACCUGUGUGUUCUCUCUGUGUAUGCAUAUGUGCAUGAUUGGCGUGCAGCUACAGUCCUCUGGUGGACAGCCCUAACCUCCACCCUAGGAGAGCUGGCCCAGAGAGGGGGAGAUACUGUCACGUUGCUAGGCAACCCCCGCAACGACGGCUUCUGUGAGGCCGAGGUAACCAUGUUUGACAGAGGAAGAACGAUGAUUCCAAGCACCACCCCCCUUUUUGAAGCUUCCAGUCUGUUAUUCAAACUCAAUCGGUGAAUGGCAGACUAGGUCUGGCUCCUGUUGCCUUCCUAGAGGAAGUUCUUGAUCCAGACAGACAUGUAAGCCCCGAAGCAACAGAUGAUAGACCACUGUGACGGCCAAUCAGAGAGAGCGCAAGAUGAUAGGUCACUGUGACUGCCAAUCAGAGAGAGGACAAGAUGAUGAGCCACUGUGACUGCCAAUCAAAUGAUGCUUCCCUACAGAGAGAUUAUAGUGGCCAACAUUCAUGACGUCAUCAAACGCUGCCUGCCUGUGACAAAAACAUUCAUAAGUGCUCACAGCCUAAAGUCGUUUGAAAUGGAAAGCUACACUAAAGCACUAGCUGAAAUGUGGGUGUGUUUGUGUGUAUGGCCCAGUUUGACAUUGUGCUUCUCCAAACGGAUGCUUUUAACCUACAUCCUGCUCAUUGAGAUCGUGUCAAAUCACCUCUGUUCUUCAAAAUCCCACGCUUUUCUGUGUCUAAUCUCUCGUGGACAGACACACUUAACUGGUAUCCUAGUGUCUGUCAGCAGACUGUGGGAUGCGACGACUAACGAGGAACUUUGUUUCCGGUGCACAGAUUUUUCGUCGCUGAUUAUUUUGGACAAAUCACGAUUUUUCCGCCUUCCUUUUUCGGGAAGAGGAGGGGACAGUUGGACCAUGGACUUGCCUGUAAAUUGCAACUGGAGAGGAGUUAACGGCCUGCGGCCCCUCCGCGUUCUAGUGUUUUUCUAACACAUCUGCCCGCAGAACGUAAUCAAGCAUCUGACACAAUUACACAAGAUUUUAGUUUUGGGUUUCCGAGAUUAUUCUGUAUGUGACAAGUGUCAAAAACGAAGGUGGGCCUGAAUGAUGUGACAACUUGUCUAACAAUCUGUCCGAAAGCCUCUCUAACAUGUUGGUGAUAUCAAGUGAUAAUUUUUUACGUGAUGAUAAAACGAAGUCGUUUUCACAAGGCCAUUUUACUUGAUCUUUAGGCAUCGAGCCAAAUAUGAAAACAAAGCUCCAUCCCAAAGACUUUGAUAUUUCUGUUCCUCGUCGUGACGUUUACAGAAAAUGUUUUUUUUUUUUUUGAUCCAAGUUAAAUCAUGAAGUCAAUUGUCUGAGCUGUUCUUCCACUGUAGAAUCGACUCAAUCUAUGAAGUCAUGCCAUUCAGAUGGAUGGAUGUUUGUGACUGAUAUAUUUUGUAGAGAUGAUUAAAUAACCUGAGGUAUGCAAAGGCUGAGUACUUUAUGUGUGGCUUUCAUCUCCUCAUUCUCUGUCUACAGGCCUAACUGACGUGUAGCUUUUACAUUCUGACCUGAUUCUCCAAAGGCUUCUCAAAUGAAACGGAGAAAAUACACACAUUCUGUUUACUGCAUACUUGUCUUUAACUGAUUAUGAUGUACGGUUGGGGGAAUGGCCAUGCUGCC
Molecule: long non-coding RNA, 5676 nt
Organism: Oncorhynchus tshawytscha (Chinook salmon)
Lineage: Eukaryota; Metazoa; Chordata; Actinopteri; Salmoniformes; Salmonidae
Source: Ensembl